Molecule: ribosomal RNA, 1552 nt
Filed under: uncultured bacterium
Lineage: Bacteria
Description: bacterial SSU rRNA
Rfam family: Bacterial small subunit ribosomal RNA
Source: RNAcentral
CGCUGGCGGCGUGCCUAACACAUGCAAGUCGAACGGGCCUUGUGCGUAGCACAAGGAAAUCCAAAGCACAAAGCACUAAAUCCAAAACAAAUUCAAAUGACAAAAAUCCAAAAAGUCCAAAAGCUAAGGGAAUUGGGAUUUUGAAUUUAGAUGUUGUUUGGAAUUUUGGAUUUAGGAUUUCGGAUUUUCUCGUGCUAUGCACGAGGUCAGUGGCGAACGGGUGAGUAACACGUAGGAAACCUACCCUUAAGAGGGGGAUAAUGUCGAGAAAUUGGCACUAAUACCCCAUAAGACUACGAAAUGAGAAGUUCGUGGUAAAAGUCUUGAGAAAUCGGGAUGCUGAAGGAUGGGCCUGCGGCCUAUCAGGUAGUUGGUGGGGUAAAGGCCUACCAAGCCUAAGACGGGUAGCCGGACUGAGAGGUUGGACGGCCACACUGGAACUGAGAAACGGUCCAGACUCCUACGGGAGGCAGCAGUGGGGAAUCUUCCGCAAUGGGCGCAAGCCUGACGGAGCGACGCCGCGUGAGGGACGAAGGCCUUCGGGUUGUAAACCUCUUUUCUGGGGGAAGAACGUUUGGCCUGUUAAUAGCGGGUUGAGUUGACGGUACCCCAGGAAUAAGCCCCGGCUAACUACGUGCCAGCAGCCGCGGUAAUACGUAGGGGGCGAGCGUUGUCCGGAAUCACUGGGCGUAAAGGGCGCGUAGGCGGCUUUAGAAGUCGCAGGUGAAAUCCCGCGGCUCAACCGUGGAACUGCCUGCGAAACCAUUUAGCUUGAGGACAGGAGAGGGAAGCGGAAUUCCUGGUGUAGCGGUGAAAUGCGUAGAUAUCAGGAGGAACACCAGUGGCGAAGGCGGCUUUCUGGCCUGGUCCUGACGCUGAGGCGCGAAAGCUAGGGGAGCAAACAGGAUUAGAUACCCUGGUAGUCCUAGCUGUAAACGAUGGGCACUAGGUGUUGGGGGGUUCAUACCCUUCAGUGCCGUAGGUAACCCAAUAAGUGCCCCGCCUGGGGAGUACGGUCGCAAGACUGAAACUCAAAGGAAUUGACGGGGGCCCGCACAAGCGGUGGAGCAUGUGGUUUAAUUCGAUGCAACGCGAAGAACCUUACCAGGGUUUGACAUGCCGGUGGUACGGAGUGGAAACACGAAGGACCUUUCGGGGAGCCGGCACAGGUGGUGCAUGGUUGUCGUCAGCUCGUGCCGUGAGGUGUUGGGUUAAGUCCCGCAACGAGCGCAACCCCUAUUCUCUGUUGCUCCGAGCAAUCGGGGCUCUCUGAGGAAACUGCCGGCGAUGAGCUGGAGGAAGGUGGGGAUGACGUCAAGUCCUCAUGGCCCUUAUGCCCAGGGCAACACACGUGCUACAAUGGUAGGAACAAAGGGAAGCCAACCUGUGAAGGGGAGCCAAUCUUGAAAAACCUAUCUCAGUUGGGAUCGGAGUCUGCAACUCGACUCCGUGAACAUGGAAUCGCUAGUAAUCGUGGACCAGCACGCCACGGUGAAUACGUUCCCGGGCCUUGUACACACCGCCCGUCACACCACGAAAGUCUGCUGUACCC